Molecule: ribosomal RNA, 253 nt
Filed under: uncultured bacterium
Lineage: Bacteria
Description: partial 16S ribosomal RNA
Rfam family: Bacterial small subunit ribosomal RNA
Source: RNAcentral
UACGUAGGGACCGAGCGUUGUCCGGAUUCAUUGGGCGUAAAGAGCUCGUAGGCGGCCACUCAAGUCGAAUGUGAAACCUCGAGGCUUAACCUCGAGCCUGCAUUCGAUACUGGGCGGCUAGAGUCUGGUAGGGGGAUCUGGAAUUCCUGGUGUAGCGGUGGAAUGCACAGAUAUCAGGAGGAACACCGGUGGCGAAGGCGGGAUCCUGGGCCAGUACUGACGCUGAGGAGCGAAAGCGUGGGGAGCAAACAGG